Molecule: ribosomal RNA, 496 nt
Filed under: uncultured bacterium
Lineage: Bacteria
Description: partial 16S ribosomal RNA
Rfam family: Bacterial small subunit ribosomal RNA
Source: RNAcentral
GAUGAACGCUGGCGGCGUGCCUAAUACAUGCAAGUCGAGCGAACAGACGAGGAGCUUGCUCCUUCGACGUUAGCGGCGGACGGGUGAGUAACACGUAGGUAACCUACCUAUAAGACUGGGAUAACUUCGGGAAACCGGAGCUAAUACCGGAUAAUAUUUCGAACCGCAUGGUUCGAUAGUGAAAGAUGGCUUUGCUAUCACUUAUAGAUGGACCUGCGCCGUAUUAGCUAGUUGGUAAGGUAACGGCUUACCAAGGCAACGAUACGUAGCCGACCUGAGAGGGUGAUCGGCCACACUGGAACUGAGACACGGUCCAGACUCCUACGGGAGGCAGCAGUAGGGAAUCUUCCGCAAUGGGCGAAAGCCGGACGGAGCAACGCCGCGGGAGUGAUGAAGGUCUUCGGAUCGUAAAACUCUGUUAUUAGGGAAGAACAAACGUGUAAGUAACUGUGCACGUCUUGACGGUACCUAAUCAGAAAGCCGCGGCUAACUACGU